UUGGUGCAGUCUCUUUAAAUUAAUGCUUUAUCUGUUUAUUGUAAAAAAAACCUACUGUUUCAUUUAAUGGAUUGAUUACAGGUUAACAUGCUUUUCAAUACUCGUUUGGUUUGUCAACUGUCACUUUUACUGUGGAGACAUAUGUAAAUGAAGAAUGUUUAAUGUACUAAAUUAUAAUCCUAAUAUAUACAAUAAGUUUUCUAACGUUAUUUCACAGAAUCUCAUAAAAGCUGUCAGAUACAAUUAAGCAAUUU
RNAcentral lists this long non-coding RNA (254 nucleotides) under Mytilus galloprovincialis (Mediterranean mussel). Lineage: Eukaryota; Metazoa; Mollusca; Bivalvia; Mytilida; Mytilidae. The record is from RNAcentral.